AUUGAACGCUGGCGGCAUGCCUUACACAUGCAAGUCGAACGGUAACGCGGGGCAACCUGGCGACGAGUGGCGAACGGGUGAGUAAUAUAUCGGAACGUGCCCAAUAGUGGGGGAUAGCCCGGCGAAAGCCGGAUUAAUACCGCAUACGACCUGAGGGUGAAAGCGGGGGAUCGCAAGACCUCGCGCUAUUGGAGCGGCCGAUAUCAGAUUAGGUAGUUGGUGGGGGUAAAAAGCUUACCAAGCCUACGAUCUGUAGCUGGUCUGAGAGGACGACCAGCCACACUGGGACUGAGACACGGCCCAGACUCCUACGGGAGGCAGCAGUGGGGAAUUUUGGACAAUGGGCGCAAGCCUGAUCCAGCCAUGCCGCGUGCGGGAAGAAGGCCUCGGGUU
Molecule: ribosomal RNA, 393 nt
Filed under: uncultured bacterium
Lineage: Bacteria
Description: bacterial SSU rRNA
Rfam family: Bacterial small subunit ribosomal RNA
Source: RNAcentral